AUGCCCUCACAGCCGGAUCAUCCUAGUCUUACAAAAAUCCAGCAGUCACAUUUCAAAAUCCACUUCCUUGUCCAUGGUUGAGCACAACAAAUCCCAACUCUAUUGUUUCGCCUGCGAAAAAUCAGUACAAUAAGAGAAUAAGCCCCACACGGCAACUACUUUAGUAGUACCAUAGAAGAUCCUAUUAGCAGCAGCCUCAGGGUGAAGGUAUCAACCAAAGCACAUGCUCAAGUAUUUGGUGCGGUCAACUUUGGAAACUCAAAAAGGUGAGCUAACUCAUGUUAAAUUAUCUUGGAAAAGGAAUAAAAAAGGUAGGUCCAAAGUUCAAACCAAAGGGAGUUAGGUUGAAUUCAAACUCUAGCUACCCUGAAAACACUGGAUCACCUAACUUUAGAUAGCACCAGUAGAUGGGAAGGCUGAGCCGCUGAGGCACAUGUACACCCAGCUCUACCUUAAGCCUCCACUUUUUUUUUUUAUUGUAAACUCUAACUGAAUCAAAUGUUUUUACAACCCCUUAAUUUAAAAUCCUAAUGCUAUCCAAAAGAUUUGAGUUACCUGCAGUCAGGGCAAUCAUACAUUCCCGCAGCCAAAGAACAUAACCCGUUUGAUCAAGAUCGGUCAGCUCAUAAAUUUCAUCAAGAUCAGACGGCACAGAUAAACUUAAAAUUUUAGCUGUGUCAGAUCUUUGAUCGAACGACUCAAAUUCCUUGAUUGCGUGAAUUUACAAAUACCCUGACUGCAGGGAAUUCAAAUUCAUCCAUGAACACCCUAAACAAAUUAUCUCUUUGCAAUGUAUUCUCCAACCAAUAAUAUGUAACGCUAUCAGUGUUUCAUGUUUUGAAUGAAAAUAGCAUUUUCUUGAAGUGGUAAAUGAUAUGGCCAAAGGGUCAAUAAACAAUGAGAGUGACGGAUAUUCGAUUACACUAUAAAAUACCUGUGAAUAUAAGAAGGUUCCGAAGACAGCAAUAGCAGCUCCAAGAGCAUUGACGGGCUGAACUGGUGUUUGGAAGAUGAUAAUUGAAGACACUAUGACGGAUAUACGUUUCAUGGUGUUUCCGAUGCUAAAUGUCAAGGGAGAGAUCUCAUCCAGAGACAUGUAUGACACCUGAUUGUAUAGAUGAUAGAAUACACUCUGAGCUGCUACCCACCUGUUACCAGCCAUAUGUUUAGUCGUAGUAUGGAGAGGCGUGGAAACUUUCAAAACCAAAAUUAGAGGAUGAGAACAACAGAUAACACAAUCAGAACAAGGAUGGAUAAACCCUAUUUUCUGAUAUAAUAUUCAAACACAUGAACCAGAUAUCAUUAAUGACAGUGAACUGCACUAAUGGUUUAGCCUUUCAUUUUAA
Lotus japonicus is the source of this 1346-nucleotide long non-coding RNA. RefSeq lists it as uncharacterized. The record is from RefSeq and is a predicted model, not a curated record. The transcript has 2 exons. NCBI's taxonomy places the organism in Eukaryota, Viridiplantae, Streptophyta, Magnoliopsida, Fabales, Fabaceae.